Molecule: long non-coding RNA, 181 nt
Organism: Xiphias gladius (swordfish)
Lineage: Eukaryota; Metazoa; Chordata; Actinopteri; Istiophoriformes; Xiphiidae
Exons: 4
Source: RefSeq, a predicted model, not a curated record
AGCUCUUCUACAUCUCUGCUGCGCAGCCAUGGCCACCAAAGAAACAGUGUUUCAAGACCGAAGCGACUUUGAAUAUGUUCCAGCUCAUCUGGUACCCAAAUUCCAAAGACAGAGGUUCCUCCUCAAACUGUAUAGAAGACAUAGUGUAUGCUUGAGAGAGGAAAUCAUCACGGGAAUCACG